Molecule: ribosomal RNA, 253 nt
Filed under: uncultured bacterium
Lineage: Bacteria
Description: partial 16S ribosomal RNA
Rfam family: Bacterial small subunit ribosomal RNA
Source: RNAcentral
UACAGAGGGUGCAAGCGUUAAUCGGAAUUACUGGGCGUAAAGCGUGCGUAGGUGGAUAUUUAAGUCGAAUGUGAAAGCCCCGGGCUUAACCUGGGAACUGCAUCCGAUACUGGAUAUCUAGAGUAUGGUAGAGGAAAGUGGAAUUCCCGGUGUAGCGGUGAAAUGCGUAGAUAUCGGGAGGAACAUCAAUGGCGAAGGCAACUUUCUGGACUAAUACUGACACUGAGGCACGAAAGCGUGGGGAGCAAACAGG